Molecule: transfer RNA, 76 nt
Filed under: Candidatus Competibacter phosphatis
Lineage: Bacteria; Pseudomonadati; Pseudomonadota; Gammaproteobacteria; Candidatus Competibacteraceae
Also listed under: 6 other names
Description: tRNA-Glu
Rfam family: tRNA
About the family: Transfer RNA (tRNA) molecules are approximately 80 nucleotides in length.
Source: RNAcentral
GUCCCCAUCGUCUAGAGGCCAAGGACACCGCCCUUUCACGGCGGUAACAGGGGUUCGAAUCCCCUUGGGGACGCCA